RNAcentral lists this ribosomal RNA (439 nucleotides) under uncultured bacterium. RNAcentral's name for it is "partial 16S ribosomal RNA". It matches the Rfam family "Bacterial small subunit ribosomal RNA", at positions 338 to 795 of the family's 1533-position model. The record is from RNAcentral.
CCUACGGGAGGCAGCAGUGGGGGAUAUUGCACAAUGGGGGGAACCCUGAUGCAGCGACGCCGCGUGGGUGAAGAAGCGCCUCGGCGCGUAAAGCCCUGUCAGCAGGGAAGAAAAUGACGGUACCUGAAGAAGAAGCCCCGGCUAACUACGUGCCAGCAGCCGCGGUAAUACGUAGGGGGCAAGCGUUAUCCGGAUUUACUGGGUUUAAAGGGUGCGUAGGCGGACUGUUAAGUCAGCGGUAAAAGCCCGGGGCUCAACCCCGGCGAGCCGUUGAAACUGGCUGUCUUGAGAUGUCGAGAGGUAUGCGGAAUGCGCAGUGUAGCGGUGAAAUGCUUAGAUAUUGCGCAGAACUCCGAUUGCGAAGGCAGCAUACCGGCGGCGAUCUGACGCUGAGGCACGAAAGCGUGGGUAUCGAACAGGAUUAGAUACCCCUGUAGUC